ACGCUCGACACCUACGGGGCAGCAGUGAGGGAUAUUGGUCAAUGGGGGGAACCCUGAACCAGCAACGCCGCGUGAGGGAUGACGGUCUUCGGAUUGUAAACCUCUGUCCUCUGUGAAGAUAAUGACGGUAGCAGAGGAGGAAGCUCCGGCUAACUACGUGCCAGCAGCCGCGGUAAUCUGAGCGGGCUGGCAAGGC
RNAcentral lists this ribosomal RNA (196 nucleotides) under uncultured bacterium. RNAcentral's name for it is "partial 16S ribosomal RNA". It matches the Rfam family "Bacterial small subunit ribosomal RNA", at positions 326 to 539 of the family's 1533-position model. The record is from RNAcentral.